RNAcentral lists this ribosomal RNA (128 nucleotides) under Oryza sativa Indica Group (long-grained rice). Lineage: Eukaryota; Viridiplantae; Streptophyta; Magnoliopsida; Poales; Poaceae. The record is from RNAcentral.
CGACCCAACUCCAUCACGCCCACCCUCGCCACCGGUGCCUAUCCCAUCAGAACUCCGAAGUUAAGCGUGGUUGGGCGAGAGUAGUACUAGGAUGGGUGACCUCCUGGGAAGUCCUCGUGUUGCAUCCC